AAAUUUUAUUUUAACAGAUCCUACUGAUUAAGAGUUUGAUAAUUGAUACACGAUAUUUUAAAUUCGAAUUCUCAUUAUUUUAUAUUUUUAGUUGAAUUUAAUUGAAAAAAGUUGAACAAAACGAACAGCUUGCUAAUUUUCUCUGAAAAAAUAAAUAUAAUUGCACUUAUUUCAAACUUCAAGAUAAAUAUAUUUUCGUCUUCCAAUUUUAAUUUUUUAUAAUUAUUUAUUUAAAUAUUUUACUUGAGAGGAUGGACAUAUGUUGUUGUU
This 270-nucleotide long non-coding RNA is filed under the name Ananas comosus (pineapple). RNAcentral describes it as "long non-coding RNA (ACOM_LNC014050)". Lineage: Eukaryota; Viridiplantae; Streptophyta; Magnoliopsida; Poales; Bromeliaceae. The record is from RNAcentral.